AAUUUUGGACAAUGGGGGCAACCCUGAUCCAGCCAUGCCGCGUGUGUGAAGAAGGUCUUCGGCUUGUAAAGCACUUUAAGCUGGGAGGCAGGGCAGUAAGUUAAUACCUUGCUGUUUUGACGUUACCAACAGAAUAAGCACCGGCUAACUUCUUGCCAGCAGCAGCAGUAAUACGAAGGGUGCAAGCGUUAAUCGGAAUUACUGGGCGUAAAGCGGGCGUAGGUGGUUUGUCAAGUUGGAAGUGAAAGCCCCGGGCUCAACCUGGGAACUGCUUUCAAAACUGGCAAGCUAGAGUAUGGCAGGGGGUGGUGGAAUUUCCUGUGUAGCGGUGAAAUGCGUAGAUAUAGGAAGGAACACCAGUGGCGAAGGCGACUACCUGGACUGAUACUGACACUGAGGUGCGAAAGCGUGGGGAGCAAAC
Molecule: ribosomal RNA, 421 nt
Filed under: uncultured bacterium
Lineage: Bacteria
Description: partial 16S ribosomal RNA
Rfam family: Bacterial small subunit ribosomal RNA
Source: RNAcentral